This 69-nucleotide transfer RNA is filed under the name Brevundimonas nasdae. RNAcentral describes it as "tRNA-Arg". The record is from RNAcentral. Lineage: Bacteria; Pseudomonadati; Pseudomonadota; Alphaproteobacteria; Caulobacterales; Caulobacteraceae.
UGAUUCCUCUGGCCAUUUCACCAGACUACGAAUCUGGGGGCAGGAGUUCGACUUUCUUCGGGCGCGCCA